CAGCCUUGCAAGAGCCGAAGCUGCCCACUCUCGCACCACUGGACUGACACAGAGAAUAUUCCUUACGUUUGCAGAAGGCUUGGGGCAGGCAGACAUCAAGAAUACCACCCACACUGCUUUGAGAGAUAUUCCUUAAUCUGACAUAAAGAGGGCUUUGACCAAUGACAUGGCUUAUUCCUGGCAUUAGUUCUUCCCUUCCACCCAAACUGAAGAUACGAUUGCCUUGCGGAUGAACGGAGCACCGCGUGCAGCGGUAGGAGAAGGUGCACUUGGAGAGUGCGUCCCGACCGAGCAGUGCUGGGAGGGCUGUGAAGGUGACAGGUGUUCACUUUGAAGACUAUGCAUGUAAAUACGAAGGAGUGCAAUUGCUGAUUUGUAUGAUAAGAGGAUGUUUAGUUUUGUAAGAAUCUGCCAAACUGUCUUCCAAAGUGACUGCAUCAUUUUUCACCUCCACCAGCAAUGGAACAGAGUUCCCGCUGCUCUGCAUCCUUGCCAGCAUUUGUUGUCAGUCCUCCAGAACCUGGCC
Long non-coding RNA from Manis javanica (Malayan pangolin), 526 nucleotides. RefSeq lists it as uncharacterized. NCBI's taxonomy places the organism in Eukaryota, Metazoa, Chordata, Mammalia, Pholidota, Manidae. The record is from RefSeq and is a predicted model, not a curated record.